GGUCAUGUGGCCUAGUGGUCAUGGCAUCUGCCCGGUAAGCGGAAGGUCGUGAGUUCGAUUCCCAUCCCUUGACACU
Molecule: transfer RNA, 76 nt
Filed under: Cordylochernes scorpioides
Lineage: Eukaryota; Metazoa; Arthropoda; Arachnida; Pseudoscorpiones; Chernetidae
Description: tRNA-Thr
Rfam family: tRNA
About the family: Transfer RNA (tRNA) molecules are approximately 80 nucleotides in length. Their secondary structure includes four short double-helical elements and three loops (D, anti-codon, and T loops). Further hydrogen bonds mediate the characteristic L-shaped molecular structure. tRNAs have two regions of fundamental functional importance: the anti-codon, which is responsible for specific mRNA codon recognition, and the 3' end, to which the tRNAs corresponding amino acid is attached (by aminoacyl-tRNA synthetases). tRNAs cope with the degeneracy of the genetic code in two manners: having more than one tRNA (with a specific anti-codon) for a particular amino acid; and 'wobble' base-pairing, i.e. permitting non-standard base-pairing at the 3rd anti-codon position.
Source: RNAcentral